GAUGAACGCUGGCGGCGUGCCUAAUACAUGCAAGUCGAGCGAACAGACGAGGAGCUUGCUCCUCUGACGUUAGCGGCGGACGGGUGAGUAACACGUGGAUAACCUACCUAUAAGACUGGGAUAACUUCGGGAAACCGGAGCUAAUACCGGAUAAUAUAUUGAACCGCAUGGUUCAAUAGUGAAAGACGGUUUUGCUGUCACUUAUAGAUGGAUCCGCGCCGCAUUAGCUAGUUGGUAAGGUAACGGCUUACCAAGGCAACGAUGCGUAGCCGACCUGAGAGGGUGAUCGGCCACACUGGAACUGAGACACGGUCCAGACUCCUACGGGAGGCAGCAGUAGGGAAGCUUCCGCAAUGGGCGAAAGCCUGACGGAGCAACACCGCGUGAGUGAUGAAGGUCUUCGGAUCGUAAAACUCUGUUAUUAGGGAAGAACAAAUGUGUAAGUAACUAUGCACGUCUUGACGGUACCUAAUCAGAAAGCCACGGCUAACUACGUG
Molecule: ribosomal RNA, 497 nt
Filed under: uncultured bacterium
Lineage: Bacteria
Description: partial 16S ribosomal RNA
Rfam family: Bacterial small subunit ribosomal RNA
Source: RNAcentral